AUGGAACCCUAUGUUGGCAUGAGGUUUGACAGCCUUCAAAUUGCUAAGGAUCACUACAACAGCUACGCACUACGGAUGGGUUUCUCUAUCAAGAUGAACACCUCUAGACGGACACCCCGCACCAAUGAAUUGAUAAAACAACAGUUUUGCUGCAACAAGUUCAAGAAGCCCAAAGCUGAUGAUGGAGGAGCCGAGGCUCCUCCUGUCCUGGACCCUAUUCCAGAUCCAAAAUCUGUUGACAGUGAUGAGGAGAUGGAAGAAGAACCUCCAAUAUUUGCUGAAGAGGAGGCUGGUACUAGUAAGAAGAAGAAGAAGCGCAAACGCGAGACAAUAAAGCAGACUCAAUGCAAGGCGAAAAUGUUGGUGAAGCUGAUAGAUGGGCGAUGGGAGGUGACGCACUUUGUUCGUGACCACAAUCAUCCGCUCGUGAACAAACCUUCAUUGUCCAAAUACUUGAGAUCCCACCAAGGCAUCUCACCUGAUGAAAAGGAGUUUCUGCGCAUCUUGUAUAACUGCAACUUGACUACAGGCGAUUACAAUCCAAGUACCAUGACGGGCCGUGCUACUACAAGUGAUUGUGAUGGUCCUACUGCCCCGUUGGAGGCUGCAUCCCCUGCACAAGCUUCUGAUGAUUUUGUGCCCAAGGAUCCUCCAAGGUCUACUACAAAAGGUAGGGCAAAGAGUCGACGGUACAAAUCGGCGCUGGAGCUACACCCAAAGAAGAAAAACAAAUGCAGCCAGUGCCAAUCUACAGAGCACACUGCUGGUGUGUGUCCACUCAGGCUACUGUGA
Molecule: ribosomal RNA, 792 nt
Filed under: Triticum aestivum (bread wheat)
Lineage: Eukaryota; Viridiplantae; Streptophyta; Magnoliopsida; Poales; Poaceae
Description: partial small subunit ribosomal RNA
Source: RNAcentral